UGUGUCUUUUGAGGUUGCUCUUUAUUCCAAAUCCUUUUCCACACUCAGAACAGACAAAUGGUUUUUGCCUUGUAUGAGUUAUCAUGUGUGUGUUAAGAUUGACCCUUUGUCCAAAUGUUUGACCACACUCGGAACAGACAAAUGGAUUUUGUCCUGUAUGAAUUAUCAUGUGUGUGUUGAGGUGGCUCUUUUGCCCAAAUCUUUGACCACACUCUGAACAGACAAAUGCUUUUUGCCCUGUGUGAAUUAUCAUGUGUCUGAUCAGGUGGCCCUUUUGCCCAAAUCGUAGACCACACUCAGAACAGACAAAUGCUUUUUGCCCUGUAUGAAUUAUCAUGUGUGUGUUCAGAGUGCACUUUUGUCCAAAUCUAUGACCACACUCAGAACAGACAAAUGGUUUUUGUCCUGU
This is a long non-coding RNA of Thalassophryne amazonica, 409 nucleotides long. RefSeq lists it as uncharacterized. NCBI's taxonomy places the organism in Eukaryota, Metazoa, Chordata, Actinopteri, Batrachoidiformes, Batrachoididae. The record is from RefSeq and is a predicted model, not a curated record. The transcript is spliced from 2 exons.